AUGAACGCUGGCGGCGUGCCUAAUACAUGCAAGUCGAGCGAACAGACGAGGAGCUUGCUCCUCUGACGUUAGCGGCGGACGGGUGAGUAACACGUGGAUAACCUACCUAUAAGACUGGGAUAACUUCGGGAAACCGGAGCUAAUACCGGAUAAUAUAUUGAACCGCAUGGUUCAAUAGUGAAAGACGGUUUUGCUGUCACUUAUAGAUGGAUCCGCGCCGCAUUAGCUAGUUGGUAAGGUAACGGCUUACCAAGGCAACGAUGCGUAGCCGACCUGAGAGGGUGAUCGGCCACACUGGAACUGAGACACGGUCCAGACUCCUACGGGAGGCAGCAGUAGGGAAUCUUCCGCAAUGGGCGAAAGCCUGACGGAGCAACGCCGCGUGAGUGAUGAAGGUCUUCGGAUCGUAAAACUCUGUUAUUAGGGAAGAACAAAUGUGUAAGUAACUAUGCACGUCUUGACGGUACCUAAUCAGAAAGCCACGGAUAACUACGUG
RNAcentral lists this ribosomal RNA (496 nucleotides) under uncultured bacterium. Its description in RNAcentral is "partial 16S ribosomal RNA". It matches the Rfam family "Bacterial small subunit ribosomal RNA", at positions 29 to 507 of the family's 1533-position model. The record is from RNAcentral.